RNAcentral lists this ribosomal RNA (492 nucleotides) under uncultured bacterium. RNAcentral's name for it is "partial 16S ribosomal RNA". It matches the Rfam family "Bacterial small subunit ribosomal RNA", at positions 29 to 507 of the family's 1533-position model. The record is from RNAcentral.
AGUGAACGCUGGCGGUAGGCCUAACACAUGCAAGUCGAACGGCAGCACAGUAAGAGCUUGCUCUUACGGGUGGCGAGUGGCGGACGGGUGAGGAAUACAUCGGAAUCUACUUUUUCGUGGGGGAUAACGUAGGGAAACUUACGCUAAUACCGCAUACGACCUACGGGUGAAAGCAGGGGAUCUUCGGACCUUGCGCGAUUGAAUGAGCCGAGGUCGGAUUAGCUAGUUGGCGGGGUAAAGGCCCACCAAGGCGACGAUCCGUAGCUGGUCUGAGAGGAUGAUCAGCCACACUGGAACUGAGACACGGUCCAGACUCCUACGGGAGGCAACAGUGGGGAAUAUUGGACAAUGGGCGCAAGCCUGAUCCAGCCAUACCGCGUGGGUGAAGAAGGCCUUCUGGUUGGAAAGCCCUUUUGUUGGGAAAGAAAAGCAGCAGGUUAAUACCCCGCUGUUCUGACGGUACCCAAAGAAUAAGCACCGGCUAACUUCGUG